GUCGGAGUGGCGGAAUCGGCAGACGCGCACGUUUGAGGGGCGUGUGGGGAGACCCGUGCGGGUUCAAGUCCCGCCUUCGACACCA
Molecule: transfer RNA, 85 nt
Filed under: Alicyclobacillus dauci
Lineage: Bacteria; Bacillati; Bacillota; Bacilli; Caryophanales; Alicyclobacillaceae
Description: tRNA-Leu
Rfam family: tRNA
About the family: Transfer RNA (tRNA) molecules are approximately 80 nucleotides in length. Their secondary structure includes four short double-helical elements and three loops (D, anti-codon, and T loops).
Source: RNAcentral